Molecule: long non-coding RNA, 2840 nt
Filed under: Fragaria vesca (wild strawberry)
Lineage: Eukaryota; Viridiplantae; Streptophyta; Magnoliopsida; Rosales; Rosaceae
Description: long non-coding RNA (FVES_LNC001400)
Source: RNAcentral
UCGAUUCUUCUUCUUCCUUCUGACCAGAUGUUUCCCAAUCCGAAACCUUGCCACCAUGAACCCAGAAACCGUCUUAAGAAAAGCUUAAAGAAUAGAAACCGCCUUGGAGAAGUAGCAGGUGUCAAGAUGGUGGAGAACAAGUUUCUCAUCGGGUGACUCCCCAAAGCUAGGAACCUAAAUUGGUAAGAUUUCGAUUGACCAAUUCAAUUUUGCUUCCUUUGUUCUUGUCUUGGACGCCAAGUUCUAUCCAUUUUCAAAACACUAUAAAUAGGUAGAGCAUUCUGUGUUUUUAGAUAGGUUUUUAGUGGUCUCUUCAUUCUUAGAGAGAAUAGAGAGAACCAAUGUUUUAGAAAUAGACAGGAAUUAAGAAGAAUUAAGGUACGAACUUCUCUUUUUAAUUCAAUUUGAUCUUUUUAUGCAUGUUCUGAUCAGUUGAUUAAUUGUUAUUCAAAGUGAGUAUAUGCUUUUAAUCAAAAGUUGUUAUCACUUUAGGAUUUUAGCUAUACUGUUUGCUUGUUUUGAUUAGUUGCUAUUAAAAAUUGGCUUUGGAUUUGAAUUUGAUGGUAAGUAGAAUUGCUGAUUUCUUUGGUUUUGGUUAAGUUUGAAGUGCAUUCUUUGUUAGCCAAACUAGUUCUAUUAUGUAGACAAUCAAGUUUAUGCAGAGCAGUUGUUGAUAGGAUUUGUUGUUAGAAUUCCAUAUCUUAAACCCUUUUCUUAGAAUUUGAGACAUAGGCAUACAUCAACAGUUUUUCUCUAUUGUAUCUAAAUUUCGAAAAAUCAUAAGUAAAUGUAGAAAAAUCUUUUUUAUGCGAUUCUAGUUCCUGAUUGAUCUUUAGGAUUUCUAUUACAAUUGUUAUGAAGAGACCAACCCAAAAUUCUUAGCCGAGCUAUACUGUUUUUAGCCAAAAAGGUCUGCUAGCCAGUAAGCUAGGCAGACAUUUUCUGAUUUUGGAUUUUUGUUUUUGGUUGCACUUUGGGUUUUGAUUCUUUGUUUAUUCUGAUGUGAAAUUGUAUAUUUAUUGAGAUAAGAUCAUAAAGUUCCUAUAUGUGUUAUUAUUUUUUGAUAUUGAAGGUAGAAAUCGUGAUUUUGGUUUGCUUAAAGCUAGCUAUAAGAUUUAGAACUACUUUUACUUAUUACUUCUUUGUUUUGCUGUUUGUGUGAUGUUUUAGUUCAGUCCUUUACAGUGAAAGUUUUGUGUGAUUUCUUUUUGUUUUAACACCAAAAUGUCUAUAUUAAAUAUCUAGAAGUUUUGUUCUACUUGGAGUUUAUGUUUUUGCUUUCAAAUACUUUAAAUAGGCUUUUAGCAGAAACUUGUUAGAAAUUCCUGAAACUGUAGCUGUUCUUUAGAAAUUCAUAACUAAUUCAAGAAAACUCGUUUUAAAGUGAUUCUAACUCUCAGAGUUUCUUUACUGUGUCUAGUUUAUUUCUUUAGAAGACCACGAAGUCAAAUUCCUUAUAGUUUUGUAUAGUUUUCAGUCGGAAGAUUACUGGUUCAGAAUGUUAGAUUUGUGUUAUUGUGUUUAAGUGAAAAAUUGUUUUGGUUAGCUACUGUAUCUUAGUGUCAUUGUUGAGUCUUAGUAUGAGUUUUAAAUGAAAUAGAGUUGGUAUAUGAUUGUUUAACUAAUGUUUGUAUCUUUUAUUAGGAAUUUGCUUCAAGUGAUUGGCAAAGGUAGGGGGAUCUGAGGAACCUCUACUCAUUUGUAUUAUGUGUUUAUAUGUUUGUUGAUAUGUUUGUUUUGGGAUGAUUGUGUAUUUGAUGGAAUUACAUGUUUGAAGUAUAUGUUAUUAAUUGGUGCAUCAUUCAGUAAAGUCCUUUGAAGAAUAAGGGUAGUGAAGGUGAUAUGAAAUUGAUCUUUUGCGUAGUUGAGUCCAAACCUCAGCAGGAACCAUGUCCCAGGUAUGCCUGUGGUUAUUGCGCAAUUAAUAUAGGAAUGAUAAGGGUAAUUCGAGACUAGAGAAAAGGAAUGGACAAGAUGACUAGCUAAAGAGGGCUAGGGAUUGAUUUUGGUGAAGUUGUUCAUAUUAGUUGAGUAUGUUGAGUCACCUUCUUGGUAAAAUACAAGGUAUAGGACAUGUAGGCUCAGUUUGUUCAGCUAUGUGGAUUAACUAGAGUAGAACAUCCAUUUAUGCAUAUCAUGUGAUUAUUGUAUGGUUAUCUUUUGUUUGGAGAGGAUUAGCUCCCUAUUGAGCCACAGGUUGAGCUCACCCCUUUACAUUCUUGCAGGUUAUGAAACAGGAGAACAAUGACAAUUAGUGAUUGAAGUAAUUAGAGUUAUUUGGAGUUCCUAAUGUGUAAUCAUCAUAAGGAAGAGAGUUUGCUUAGAACUUUUGAGUUGUCCGUAUACUGAUUUUGAAAUGAAAAGUCGAUUUCUUUAAGGUGUAUGUUUUAUUUUCUAUCAUUUAGCUUAUUUUUAUUUUAGCUCACUCCUUGGAUUUUCGGGAAAGAAAAAAAUCUAGCCCAAAAUCCGGGGUGUGACAGAUUGAGGAGGAGCUUGAUCUCCCUAUAUAUACACAUCGAAAUGCAUCAAAUGUUGUAGAGUUUUUUUGUGCUAAAUUUGUUUAAUUUGAAAACCCUUGCUGCUUAAUCUGCAAAGUGCUUUGAACAAAAACUCAUAUAUAGAUCUGUCAUUGCAUCUGUCAUUUCUUAGUGAUCAAGAAAUGUGAGAUUGGGAUCCAAAGAAACGUGUUCAGUUCAUUCGUAUCAAAUUGUAUUCACUAGUUGUAAAAUAGGCUGCUCAGUUGCUAGAUCAAGUUAGUUUAUGUACUAGUGAAUGUGAUUGUAUUGAACAUCACUACUUGAUAUAAAUGUAAUUCUAUUUACAUAUAGUGGAUUGGUUUU